Ictalurus punctatus (channel catfish) is the source of this 630-nucleotide long non-coding RNA. Lineage: Eukaryota; Metazoa; Chordata; Actinopteri; Siluriformes; Ictaluridae. The record is from Ensembl.
GUGUGGAGUUGUUAGGUGUUGAGUGUGUAGGUGUGUAAGUGUGUAGGUGUGUAAGUGUGUAGGUGUGUAGGUGUGUGAGUGUGUAAGUGUGUGAGUGUGUAAGUGUGUAGGUGUGUGAGUGUGUGAGUGUGUAGGUGUGUGAGUGUGUAAGUGUGUAGGUGUGUGAGUGUGUAAGUGUGUAAGUGUGUGAGUGUGUGAGUGUGUGAGUGUGUAAGUGUGUAGGUGUGUGAGUGUGUGAGUGUGUGAGUGUGUAAGUGUGUAGGUGUGUGAGUGUGUGAGUGUGUGAGUGUGUGAGUGUGUGAGUGUGUGAGUGUGUAGGUGUGUGAGUGUGUAGGUGUGUGAGUGUGUAAGUGUGUAGGUGUGUGAGUGUGUGAGUGUGUAGGUGUGUGAGUGUGUAGGUGUGUGGAUGUGUAAGGUGUGUAGGUGUGUAGGUGUGUAGGUGUGUGAGUGUGUGAGUGUGUAGGUGUGUAGGUGUGUAGUGUGUAGGUGUGUGAGUGUGUGAGCGUGUAGGCGUGUAGGUGUGUAAGUGUGUGAGUGUGUGAGUGUGUAGGUGGUGUAAGUGUGUAGGUGUGUAGGUGUGUAGGUGUGUGAGUGUGUGAGUGUGUAAGUGUGUGAGUGUGUAGUGUGUAG